This 366-nucleotide ribosomal RNA is filed under the name uncultured bacterium. Its description in RNAcentral is "bacterial SSU rRNA". It matches the Rfam family "Bacterial small subunit ribosomal RNA", at positions 8 to 402 of the family's 1533-position model. The record is from RNAcentral.
AGAGUUUGAUCCUGGCUCAGAACGAACGCUGGCGGCAUGCCUAACACAUGCAAGUCGAACGAGACCUUCGGGUCUAGUGGCGCACGGGUGCGUAACGCGUGGGAAUCUGCCCUUGGGUUCGGAAUAACAGCUAGAAAUGGCUGCUAAUACCGAAUAAUGACGUAAGUCCAAAGAUUUAUCGCCCAAGGAUGAGCCCGCGUAGGAUUAGCUAGUUGGUGAGGUAAAAGCUCACCAAGGCGACGAUCCUUAGCUGGUCUGAGAGGAUGAUCAGCCACACUGGGACUGAGACACGGCCCAGACUCCUACGGGAGGCAGCAGUGGGGAAUAUUGGACAAUGGGCGAAAGCCUGAUCCAGCAAUGCCGCAU